UACGUAGGUCCCGAGCGUUGUCCGGAUUUAUUGGGCGUAAAGCGAGCGCAGGUGGUUUAUUAAGUCUGGUGUAAAAGGCAGUGGCUCAACCAUUGUAUGCAUUGGAAACUGGUAGACUUGAGUGCAGGAGAGGAGAGUGGAAUUCCAUGUGUAGCGGUGAAAUGCGUAGAUAUAUGGAGGAACACCGGUGGCGAAAGCGGCUCUCUGGCCUGUAACUGACACUGAGGCUCGAAAGCGUUGGGAGCAAACAGG
This 252-nucleotide ribosomal RNA is filed under the name uncultured bacterium. RNAcentral's name for it is "partial 16S ribosomal RNA". It matches the Rfam family "Bacterial small subunit ribosomal RNA", at positions 524 to 776 of the family's 1533-position model. The record is from RNAcentral.